UACUGUCUAUGAGUACUACAACCCAGGUAGAUACUGUCUAUGAGUACUACAACCCAGGUAGAUACUGUCUAUGAGUACUACAACCCAGGUAGAUACUGUCUAUGAGUACUACAACCCAGGUAGAUACUGUCUAUGAGUACUACAACCCAGGUAGAUACUGUCUAUGAGUAC
This is a long non-coding RNA of Oncorhynchus keta (chum salmon), 171 nucleotides long. RefSeq lists it as uncharacterized. The transcript has 3 exons. Lineage: Eukaryota; Metazoa; Chordata; Actinopteri; Salmoniformes; Salmonidae. The record is from RefSeq and is a predicted model, not a curated record.